GUGCUCGCUUCAGCAGCAUAUACACUAAAAUUGGGACGAUUUAGAGAAGAUUAGCAUGGCCCCUGUGCAAGGAUGACAUGCAAAUUCAUGAAGAGUUCCAUAUUUUU
RNAcentral lists this small nuclear RNA (107 nucleotides) under Marmota monax (woodchuck). Lineage: Eukaryota; Metazoa; Chordata; Mammalia; Rodentia; Sciuridae. The record is from RNAcentral.